Long non-coding RNA from Mandrillus leucophaeus (drill), 887 nucleotides. RefSeq lists it as uncharacterized. Lineage: Eukaryota; Metazoa; Chordata; Mammalia; Primates; Cercopithecidae. The transcript is spliced from 2 exons. The record is from RefSeq and is a predicted model, not a curated record.
CACAUGGUCAGGAAAAAGUGAGUGAACGGAUGUGGCCCCCAGAACCCCUCCCUGAAAUUGCAGUUGAUUUUUAUUCCCCACCUCAAGCCCACAUAUCCAAAGCUUCCUCUGAACGCUCCUUGCAGUGCACAAGAUAGAAAUGAUUGACAGGCACGGAGCCGCGGCGGGCCCCAUGCUGGACACCAGCAUCUGGCACCGUGGGUCACCAAGCACCAACCUGAUCUCCUCAGAGCCAGGUGUGUGUUGGGAUUCAGGAUUUUUCCGUUUCAAAGGUAGUAUGAUCUCUACUCCACAGGGCACACGGCACCCUCAGUGCUCAGCACAGCAGUGGGCAGCAGCCUGGUGAGCUUUUCUGCAGGGAAGUGUGUGAACGUUCACACCGAGCGGGGUCAGUCACGUCUGUGAGUCAUCUCCCACCAACACAGGUCAGGUUUUCCCGCCCAAUGAGCUUGGGGAUGGCUUCACUUCGAAGCUCUUUGGAUCUGUGGAUUCUGGAAUUUUGGAUUUGUGAUACCCAUUUGAUCAAAGAGUCAACCAAGGUCUAAUGGGUCAAGUGACUUUCCACAUCCGUGAAGGUCGUGAGAAGCAGGACCAGGAUGGUGGCCCAGCAGUGUCUUCAAGGAUAAGCUGGGCCCUUCACCGUGCAGGCCCCUCUCCGUCGGUCCACUCUGCCACUGCUAUCUGCCACACCCUGCCCUGAUAUCUCCUCUCUGCCAGGUUUUUCCCUCACGUCCUCAACUCAGCCAAGAGCUGGUUUCUUCCAGAAAGAGCCCUGCUGUCAGGUGAUUUAUUGGACUUCUCUUUUUUUGGAUGUUUGUUUUCAGGGUUUAGCUGAUCAAAAUGGUAUCAUUGUAACAGGCAGCUCUCAAUAUAAGUCUUCAGAGGCC